GUGAGGCAGCUUCGUGAUCUGUGAAGUCUUCUACGUGACAUUCAAGACUUUUGUUGCUAUGGGGAUUGGGGUUUUCUUUUGUUUUUCAAUAGCUUCUUGUUAGAUCUCAAAAAACAUUCAUCCUUUCACAUUUAGAGAGAGAAUUAGAGGGGAAGUGAAGGGGAAGUGGAACUUGAGUUUGGGGGAAAUGUUGCUGUUGUUCUUCUUCUUCAGGAAUUUUGGCUGCUUCGCUUUCUGUGGAGCACUGCAGUACUGUUUCUACUUGGCAACUAAUCACAAGGAUACUUGAGCUCGUCGAAAUAUAAACGAUCUAUAUCAAAUGGACAAAAGAUUGUGACCAAAAUGGAUCCUCAGGCAUUUAUUAGGUUGUCAAUUGGAUCGCUGGGAUUGAGAAUCCCAGGGGCUGCUCUAAACUCUACAAAACCUGGAGUCAAUGCUUUCUCUUCUCCAUGUUCAUGUGAAAUUCGUCUUCGGGGUUUCCCUGUG
This 486-nucleotide unclassified non-coding RNA is filed under the name Hevea brasiliensis (rubber tree). Lineage: Eukaryota; Viridiplantae; Streptophyta; Magnoliopsida; Malpighiales; Euphorbiaceae. The record is from RNAcentral.